UACGGGGGGGGCAAGCGUUGUUCGGAAUUACUGGGCGUAAAGGGCGCGUAGGCGGCCUGCUAAGUCGAACGUGAAAUCCCUGGGCUCAACCCAGGAACUGCGUCCGAUACUGGUUGGCUUGAAUCCGGGAGAGGGAUGUGGAAUUCCAGGUGUAGCGGUGAAAUGCGUAGAUAUCUGAAGGAACACCGGUGGCGAAGGCGACAUCCUGGACCGGUAUUGACGCUGAGGCGCGAAAGCCAGGGGAGCAAACGGG
Molecule: ribosomal RNA, 253 nt
Filed under: uncultured bacterium
Lineage: Bacteria
Description: partial 16S ribosomal RNA
Rfam family: Bacterial small subunit ribosomal RNA
Source: RNAcentral